RNAcentral lists this long non-coding RNA (203 nucleotides) under Lathyrus oleraceus (garden pea). RNAcentral's name for it is "Pisum sativum (pea) long non-coding RNA (PSAT_LNC023899)". The record is from RNAcentral. Lineage: Eukaryota; Viridiplantae; Streptophyta; Magnoliopsida; Fabales; Fabaceae.
UAAUAUAUAUCUAGAAUAAUAUCAUACAAGUGUUAUAAUUGGUACUGAUCCAACAUAAGUGCCUAAUGGCAUCAAUAGAUAUACAUGUCCAAACUAAAAACAUUAAUGGAACAUGUUAUACAAUAAUGCCUAAAAAUAAAAAUCUAAGAACUAUAUGCAAUAUCUUCAUUGCACACAACUCCACAGCGGAAGAUCAUGAUAAA